Molecule: ribosomal RNA, 403 nt
Filed under: Bradyrhizobium elkanii
Lineage: Bacteria; Pseudomonadati; Pseudomonadota; Alphaproteobacteria; Hyphomicrobiales; Nitrobacteraceae
Description: bacterial LSU rRNA
Rfam family: Bacterial large subunit ribosomal RNA
Source: RNAcentral
AAUCAAGUGCCUUAAGGGUGUUCGGUGGAUGCCUUGGCGCUGAGAGGCGAUGAAGGACGUGCUACGCUGCGAUAAGCCGUGGGGAGCUGCGAAGAAGCUUUGAUCCGCGGAUUUCCGAAUGGGGAAACCCACCUUCGAUAGCCGGAACUCCAAGACCUUGUGUGUUGGGGUUCGACCAGAAAUGCGAGAAAUCAAACCGCGAGGUUUUGGAUUUCCGGUUAUCAAGAGAAGGUAUGAGACCUCCGAAUAAAAUAGGAGGUUUUAAGCAAACCCAGGGAACUGAAACAUCUAAGUACCUGGAGGAAAGGACAUCAAUCGAGACUCCGUUAGUAGUGGCGAGCGAACGCGGACCAGGCCAGUGAUACAUCAAAGACAAUCGGAACCUGUCAGGAAAGCAGGGCCU